CGUUCGUCGCGGGGGCGGUUCGGGUUCGUCUCGUCCCGGCCUUACAGCUCCCGCCAUCGAGCGUGCCGGGCGCGUUCGCUUUAAAGCGCUCCUUCUGCAGCGAGUGCGUGCGGUACCGCAGCGGCAAGCGGUGCUUCUGGUCAGCCCUGCGCCUCGGUUUUGUGCGGGGCGAGCUGGGUAAACCGGCUGCGCCUAUUGAAAAGCCCUCUGCGUUUUAGUCUCUUGUUGAAACUUCACCAAGUGACCGGCAAAUGCGUUUCCGUGCUGCUGCUACAGAUCAGCACAUCCUCUUGCCACGUUGCUGCUAGAUCCCUUGCCCAGCUGAUGGUGUGGUCUCAAAAACAGUUGUGAUGGCCCAGGGCCCGGAGCAAGCAGCCGGCUGGGAGACGGGCUGGUCCUGAGGGAUGGGAAUGUAUUUCACAGGAAUUUGUCAGCAGAGUUGGCCACAGAUCCUCAGAGUCCCAGGUGACUUCUGAUACAACCAGACACUUAAGGGAAGGAUUCAUAAAGAGAAGCCUGGAAAGACUAAAGCUGCAAGAACAGGAGUUGAAAAAAAGGAAAGAGAAAAAAAAAAAGGGGAGGGAAAAGAGAAGAGGGUUGAAAGGUGAGGCUGUACUUUAGAGAAUGUCCAUCAGCUGUUUCUUCAGAUUUGUUACACUAUUUCAUACCAAGUGGCAUCCAAGAAGGGAGUUGUCAACUGUAAAAACCCAGGCUUUGAGGAAACGGGAAUCCAAGAACUUGAACCAAUCCUUAUAGUUUUUAAUUUGUGUUACUGUGGGAAAGAAAAGCAACCUAACUCAGUGUGUAAGGCAUCAGAUGGAGUCAGUUAUGAGAAAGUGGUUGGACUAGAGACAUUCUGAGGUA
Molecule: long non-coding RNA, 864 nt
Filed under: Meleagris gallopavo (turkey)
Lineage: Eukaryota; Metazoa; Chordata; Aves; Galliformes; Phasianidae
Description: lncRNA (ENSMGAG00000017809.1)
Source: RNAcentral